UACGUAGGGGGCAAGCGUUGUCCGGAUUUAUUGGGCGUAAAGCGCUCGCAGGUGGUUCGAUGCGUCGUGCGUGAAAGACCCCGGCUCGACUGGGGAGGGUCGUGCGUAGUACGGUCGAACUGGAGGCCAGUAGGGGGGAUGCGGAAUUCCGGGUGAGUGGUGGAAUGCGUAGAGAUCCGGAGGAACACCAGCGGCGAAGGCGGCAUCCUGGACUG
This 215-nucleotide ribosomal RNA is filed under the name uncultured bacterium. Its description in RNAcentral is "partial 16S ribosomal RNA". It matches the Rfam family "Bacterial small subunit ribosomal RNA", at positions 524 to 736 of the family's 1533-position model. The record is from RNAcentral.